CACUGCGUGUGCUGUUAAAAUCUCUGCAGACUUUUCUUGAUUAACUAUGUCUGUGAUAUAUUUUACCAUAUUUGUAGGCUUUAUUUAUACCUUAACUCCAAAAUAGGGUGUGAUUGUAUUAGUAAAAAGUGAGAUGACCCGGUUAGGCAUUGAUGAUGGCUCCCGGACUAUGUAGGCCAGGAGCCAACGAUAAGGCUGUGGUAAAACUCAAAUAUAAAUCGAUUUCUCAUUUAAAAACGUUAUCGUGCAAUGAGGUUAUUUUUUAAUAUAACUGUGUUUGUGCAAUGUUUUAAGUAACUUUUUUCUUUAAUGAGUGUUGUUUUUCUAAUAUUAUGUUAGUUUAUAGUAUAGAUUUUUGUCGUAUGUAAUAAAUAACAUAGCUGUCCGCUAUAAAACUUUAAAUCAAAGUGUUAUUUGGUGUUGUUGCACCUUAACCCCAACAGUAACGGCAGUAUGUCGGCUGCUCAUUUUCUUUUACAUAUAUUGUAACAUAGGUGCUUAUUUUACUGGACUCAGUAACACAUCACUUAACAUAUAAUUUUAUAAAGUGCGCGUUGAUUGUUUGUUAGCUAUUUAUUACAUAGCAGAGUCCGUUAAAGAUUUUUUAUGUAAUACUCUUAGUGGCCGUUCAUUAAUUACGUAAAUACGAUUUUCGUCUAUCGAAACUCUUACGUAAUUAAUUAAUGACCCCUUUCAACUCAGACGGAAGAUUGUGAAUUGGAUAGGUUACAAGAUAAUGUUUAAAUUAAAAAUAUAUUGCCUCUAUGAA
Long non-coding RNA from Cydia splendana, 769 nucleotides. RefSeq lists it as uncharacterized. The transcript is spliced from 2 exons. The record is from RefSeq and is a predicted model, not a curated record. Lineage: Eukaryota; Metazoa; Arthropoda; Insecta; Lepidoptera; Tortricidae.